GUCUACGGCCAUGCCAUCCUGAGCAAGUCCCAUCCCAUCUGAUCUUGGAAGCUAAGCAGAGUUGGGCCUGGUUAGUACUUGGAUGGGAGACCACCUAGUAAGACCAGGUGCUGCAGGUG
Molecule: ribosomal RNA, 119 nt
Organism: Pteropus vampyrus (large flying fox)
Lineage: Eukaryota; Metazoa; Chordata; Mammalia; Chiroptera; Pteropodidae
Source: Ensembl